Molecule: ribosomal RNA, 253 nt
Filed under: uncultured bacterium
Lineage: Bacteria
Description: partial 16S ribosomal RNA
Rfam family: Bacterial small subunit ribosomal RNA
Source: RNAcentral
UACGAAAGGUGCGAGCGUUAAUCGGAAUUACUGGGCGUAAAGCGUGCGUAGGCGGCUAUUUAAGUCGGAUGUGAAAGCCCCGGGCUCACCCUGGGAGGUGCAUCCGAUACUGGGUAGCUAGAGUGUAGUAGAGGGAGGUGGAAUUUCCGGUGUAGCGGUGAAAUGCGUAGGGAUCGGAAGGAACACCAGUGGCGAAGGCGGCCUCCUGGACUGAACCUGACGCUGAGGCGCGAAAGCGUGGGGAGCGAACAGG